AGGUGAUCAAGUCAAUAUCUUGUAAGGGCAAUCCAAUCAAGAAUUUCUUUUACUUCGACGCCGCUGAUGGUAAAGGGGCCAUGGAGGACAUCCCCCCAACUCCUGAAGACUGAAUCACGUGAUACCUAACUCUCAUCCGACAUCGCUCGCUGAUAAUUGUACCCAAUCAUCAGAGUCGAACAUGUGACAACUCUAGUUCGGUGGCUGAGGCUGGAAACUCAACUUAGCAUUUUAGCGUUUUUAUUGUUGUACUUAGCGUUUUAGCGAUGGCAUCAUGCUAUGACACCUGAGAACUGCAUUAAACAGAAUUGACAUUCUCCUCCGAACAAUUUCAGAGCUGAAGGCAGGCAGGCUAUUGAAUGGUGAAAUGCUUUAUUCGUACUCUCCUCUUGCAUUAGUAGUGGUUAAUGAUUGCAAUACAAUAUAUCACACACACACGAUGACACGAUGAAAGAAUAAACAGUGGUACACUCUUCUUCCCUCGGUGCUUCCACAUUGUCAAUCGCCAACCAUCGUUGUCAAGUAUAGUCGUUUGUUGGUGAUUCUUGGAUGAACGGGUGCUGGAUUCAGACAUUUGAAUAUGCAUGGGUGUUCAAAAUGACAAAAAAAAUCAACAUGGAAGAAAUGAAAUCGAUGCCCGCACAAUUACUAGAUGUCCAAAUGGCUCUGCCAGUUACUCCUAAUUAAUCUGUUACAAUUGAUAAACACAUAUGAUUGAAAGAAUAAACAAUGGUACAAGAAAAGCCCAUGUUCAACUAUUGCUUCCACAACAGUGUUUUUUUUUUGGUUGCCGAUUCUCGGAUGCUUAUGCCAUCACCUCCUGAUGAAUCCAAGCAGGAACGCCAAGAUGAGCAUGAGAAUAGCAAAGAUGAAGCCCUUCCUGCCUAGUAGCCAGUCCUUUGUCUUCUUUGCUGCUUGGACUCCUCGCUGUGCUCUGCCGAUCCAUUUCAUCAUCGUUUCUAAAUCUUGUGGAGAGACCGAAGACAUAGCCUGUUGAGCGUCGGCAGCAUCCUCUUUGGACAACUCGAUACCAAACUGCCCGCUAAUGUUUGCCAUCGCUUCAGGGCUCAUGUUCUCCAUCAUGGAUGACAACAUCUCCCACAUAGCAGGGUCUGCCAUACCAACCAUGCCAGUCGGCAUAUUGGAUCCAAAAUGUGGAGCAACAGGGACCUGAGACAUAUUGAUCAAGCUUUCUGAAGAAUCAGACUGUCUCGAGCUUCGUGCUUCGUCGUGUGGUUGUGGUUGUGAAACAGUAUGCUCAGUAGUAGAAGAAGAAGAAUUCUGUUGAGCGGUUGACAGAUCAGAACUAACAUCUUCCUCUACGAUUUCUUCAAUAACAAGUCCCUUUGGCACGUUUUCUGCUGCCUCCCCUUGGGUUGCAAGUUUUUCUUGUGCCUCUGUCAGAACUUGAGCGACAGUUUCAUCGUCCGGAGACAUUUCAUGGGCUUUACUUAGGUCAGCAACAGCAGCCUGGAGGUUUCCCAGCUCCUUGUAUGCCUGACCCCUUCGGUAGUACGCUUUGACGGUGCCCGAGUCAUAGCUCAAAACCUCCGAGCCUUCGUUGACGCACUCCUCAAACUCGCCUAGUUUCAGGUAACAUGCCAUCAGAUUAACGCUGCACUGCAGCUGCAGAUCGCGCCCGACCGGCGACGGCACGCCGUUCUUCACGUUAUCCCUGGCGAGCUUGUACUUGGCGGCGGCGUCGGCGUACUGCCCGUCGCGGUGGAGCUGGUUCCCCUCCCGCUUCAGCGUCUUUGCGGCGGAUAUCGCGUGCGACGUCUGUGCGUCGGCUUGGGCCUUCAUGGCGGCGAGCUCCUCGGGCUUGGCCUUGGCGAUUUUCUCCGUCAUGUCAACCAUCUCUUCUGGGUUUGUUUGGUUCAGGUGCUCGGCGGCUCGCUUGAAGUCGUCGGCCGUCAUGUUCUUCAUGCUCUCGGUCGCGAGCUUCAGCAGGUCCGGGUUGGACAUGAGCUGCCGCUGCAUCCUGGCGAGGUCGUCGGCGGGUAUGCGCCGCAUCUGCUCCUCCGCCACCCGCAUCAUCUCCGGGUUCAUCAUGGCCAUGGCGACCCCGACAGGCAGAUCCAAGACGUCGACGAUGGAUGGAUCGACGCGAAGACCGGGAGCUCGAGGUUUUGGGAAUCACCUCUCGACGAGGUGUGUGUGUGUGUGUCGCCUUCUCUUUUCUUUUCCGUCGCUUCUGGUUUAGCUGUCGAUCCUUCAGCUCAUGCUGCAAUUUAUAGACGGGGGUUUGGGAGGGGAGACGAAAACCGAGUCCAAUCCGAAAGCGGAAUCACUCUCAGACGAUUCUAUGGACGCCAAACGCACAGGGGAACUGGGCCAGACCAUCAUCCUGUGCAGGCAGUUUCGUUUUUUGCUUUUUNUUCGUAACUUCAAAUAAUGUUCGGGAUUUUACAAAAAUGUUCGACAUUUUCAAAAAAUGUUCACGAUUUUAGAAAAAUGUUCACGAUCUUAGAAAAAUUACGUUUCUAGGUGUUAUCGAUGUUUGUGUUAUCUCGACACUUUAACCAAAGAGCGUCAUAUAGAAAAUUUCGUAUAGAAGAUAGAUACAACACCACGGAGCCUGCCAUUGAGACCUCAGACCAAAACAUAACCGUGGAGGAUACGUAUUGCAGCUCGCCAUUAGUAACUCAAUUAUCAGUGACGGGUGUUAGUUUGUGCAAACUGAUGCCCGCCACCGGUAAGUUUAUAGUAGUGGCGGGCAGAUGUUAGCAUCGUAAGUGGUAAUUUUUCAGAUUAACAGUGACGAAUGAGGGAGUCCGGGACCUUAGGGGUCCUCGGACCGCCGAUCUAUUUCUUGUGGUCCGAACACGUGCACCGUUGUGUGACUAUUCCUUGAAGGCUGUGCUAUAAGGCGACUCCGUGUUCAGGAAGAAACCUCCAAAGCCUUGGUGUGUUCUCCAAUUCAAGAUGGUAGAAUCAACAUGUUUAUUCUGUGAUGGAAACCGACCAUGUGUAACCAUAGGUAUCCCCGGUGUCUAUAUAAAGUGGAGGGUUUAGUUCGUAGGGGAGAGAACCAUCAUCCUACUCAUCUAGGGUUCAGUUCAUCUCUUCUCGUGGUAGAUAGACUCUGUAAUCAUCAUACACACAUCAACGUAAUCAAGCUGGACGUAGGGUUUUACCUCUUCGAGAGGGCACGAAUCUGGGUAAAUAUUGUUCCUGUGUUUCGUGUUCCUCAUUGAUCCAAGAUCCACAACUCGGGACCCCCUACUAGAGAUCUGCCGGUUUUGACACCAACAUUGGGUCUUCCAUUGGGAGUCCUGUUGUGGGAUCGCCAAAGGAUCGAUGGCUCGCCUAAUCAUUAGCAGAGACAUUUGCAGCAGAGAUGUAUUCAUCCCUGGACAGAUCUUCGCGUUCGGUAGCAUCGCGCGGCACGCUGAUUUGACCAUCCACUUGGGCCAGGUCAGAAGUUUCACCCCCGAUCAGGAGAUCAGGUUUGGGAACCUAGAGUUCAUCGCCGACUCCUGAGGUGAUCUGGUCCUUACUGGGCUCUCGGCCUCACCCCAUGAGCCUCGAAAUCCCUAAGCUUUAACUUCGGGCCCCGUGCUCGACCCCGUCUCUAGGUCGAUUCUUACCUUGGAUCCGGCUUUGAGCUCGGAUCCGAUUAUGGCAUCCGAAGACCAGGGGCCAACCUUGGCCGAGCACACUCCUUGUGCCGACACUCCAGAAUCCAACCCCGAAGGACUGGAAGACUAAUCCGUCUAACCUCUCGCUAUUGAAUGAGACGCUGGCUCGGAUCCACACAAUGAACAUUAUGGAUAGCUCGGCUCUGCCCUAUGAUCGGAUAGGAUUUGAGGCAAGACUCGGAGAAUUUUACGUCCCACCCACCACCCACUUGGUAGGCACUAUCAAAGAUUGACCGAUAUGUUGGUCUACACCUCUGAGGAGGCCGAGGACAUGGAUGAACAGGUCGACGCCACUACGCCUCCUCCCACCACUGGACGGUGGACAACCACCUCCACCUACGAUUCUACAUGAUGGACACCCCCAACGAUAAGGGCGACGACACCACUGGGAAGAGCAGCGAUGGAACCCCCGGAAGGAACGACGACAUGCCCGACCAGGAGCCGCCCAAGCGUCGAUGUCAGCAUUAAUGAUCCAAGGGGUGCAAGGGUAAGGGAAGCAAUAUGGGCGCCGGAGAAAAUGAUACCACAGACAAUAUGGAAGACCUCGGCAACCCUAUUGCCUCCAAACAACAACUCAAUGACUCGGAGGGGCACAAGGAUCAGUAUAACCCUGAGGACCUCAAUGACUCCGAGGACAUCAACUACCUUCUUCUCUUGGAACAGGAAGUUAGCCUCGAAGCCGAUGAUUGCAUCAUCCCCGAGGACCCGCUGGUUAAAGAACGGUUCAAGCAACAACUUAUAGCCAUCGCCCGAAGCCUGAAGAAGAAGCAGAAAGAGCUAAAAACCAAACAAGAUACCCUCAACGACAGAUGGACGAGAGUCCUAGCAGACAAAGAAGGGUACAUCAAUGAACGACUAGAUCAAAACAAAAAUUACCCGCACGGAUGUUUGAUGCCACAAUUCGACGAUGAGGCCCGUGAGCCCGCAAUCCCUAGACGCACUCAUACUAGCGACGAUGUAUACUGCCUCAAGGGCUUGGUACCAACGAUACAUGGCACAAAGGCAAUGCAAAAGGGGAAGAGCGGCCUGAUACGUCUCAAACCUAUCUAUAAUUUUUGAUGGUUUCACGCUGUUAUCUUGUCUUCUUUGGAUGUUUUAUGUACCUUUUUAUAUCUUUUUUGGGACUAACUUAUUAAUUUAGUGCCAAGUGCCAGUUCCUGUUUUUUCUGUGUUUUUGACUCUUUUCAUAUCUGAUUUUGGAAUGGAGUCCAAACAGAAUAAAAACCCCGAAAUGAUUUUUUCCCGAACGGAAGAAGAUCAGAGGGCCUCUGGGCCAAGCCAGGUGGGCUCCAGGGAGCCCACAAGCUCCCACUCCGCCACCAGGGAGGAGGCGGCGGUGUGAGGGCUUGUGGCCUCCCUGGCCGCCCCUGACCUAGAUCCUUGGCCUAUAUAUUCCCAAAUAUUCAGCAAAAAAUUAUGGGAGCCUCGAAAAUACUUUUCCGCCGCCGCAAGCUUACGUUUCCGCGAGAUCUCAUUUGGAGACCCUUCCCGGCGCCCUGCCGGAGGGGACUUUGGAGUUGGAGGGCUUCUUCAUCAUCAUCAUCGCCCCUCCAAUGAAUCGUGAGUAGUUCACUUCACACCUACGGGUCCAUAGUUAGUAGCUAGAUGGCUUCUUCUCUCUCUUGGAUCUUCAAUACAAAGUUCUCCAUGAUCUUCAUGGAGAUCUAUCCGAUGUAAUCUUCUUUGGCGGUGUGUUUGUCGAUAUCCGAUGAAUUGUGGAUUUGUGAUCAGAUUAUCUAUGAUAUAUAUUUGAGUGUUUGCUGAUUUCUUAUAUGCAUGAUUUGAUAUCCUUGUAAGUUUCUCCGAGUCUUGGGUUUUGUUUGGCCAACUAGAUCUAUGAUUCUUGCAAUGGGAGAAGUGCUUGGUUUUGGGUUCUACCAUGUGGUGACCUUUCCUAGUGACAGUAGAGACAGCAAGGCACACAUUAAGUAGUUGCCAUCAAGGGUAAAAAGAUGGGGUUUUCAUCAUUGGUUUGAGAUUAUCCCUCUGCAUCAUGUCAUCUUGCUUAAGGUGUUACUCUAUUCUUAUGGACUUAAUACACUAGAUGCAUGCUGGAUAGCGGUCGAUGUGCGGAGUAAUAGUAGUAGAUGCAGAAAGUAUCGGUCUACUUGUUUUGGACGUGAUGCCUAUAGAUAUAAUCAUUGCCAUAGAUAUCGUCACGACUUUGCGCAGUUCUAUCAACUGCUCGACAGUAAUUUGUUCACCCACCGUCUACUUGCUUUCAUGAGAGAAGCCACUAGUAAACACUACGGCCCCCGGGUCUAUUCACAUCCAUCGUUUACACCUCCUCUUUUACUUUGCUUUGUUACUUUGUUGCUUUCAGUUCUCACUUGGCAAACAAUCUAUAAGGGAUUGACAACCCCUUCAUAGCGUUGGGAGCAAGCUUUUGUGUUUGUGCAGGAUCUUGAGAUACUCUUCCACUGGAUUGAUACCUUGGUUCUCAAACUGAGGGAAAUACUUACCACCACUACGCUACAUCACCCUUUCCGCUUCGAGGGAACACCAACGCAAGGCUCCAAGGCCACGGGGGAAAUCCUUUGCAUACUUGCCUAGGAAGUCCCUUAAGGCGUAGCCACAGCUGAAGGAUUCCUGGCACCGUUGCCGGGGAAGAGGAUCGCUUGCCGAGGAAGAUCAAGACAAGAAUAAUCUCGCGUCAACACUCCUAUUUCUGGCGCCGUUGGAAGAUCUUUUGUUGCAGUAGCAAAAGUAUUUCUGGCGCCGUUGCCAGGGAGGAGAAAUAAAGAUCUAUCCAAGUAGGUCUCACAAACUCUUCUCUUGCAUUUACUUUUGUUGCCAGUUGCCUCUCGUUUUCCUCUCCCCCACUUCACAUUUGCCAUUUUCAUUUGCCUUUCUCCUUCGCCAUUUUUUUUGCCUUUUUGCUGUUUUCUUUUGCCCGUUUCACUCUCCCUUCCUGCUCGUUUGUGUGUGAGAUAGUCCAUCAAUGGCUAGACCCACCACUCAAAACGACACCCCUGAAAAUGAAGUUCUCAAUUUCAGGGAGAAUGAGGAAGAAAAUUUGAAGGACGCUUGGUACAGGAUUUGCAAUGCUCAAAGUAGAUCUACUCGUAAGCAAUCCACUACCGUCCUCCUUCGCAGUUUCUAUGUUGGAAUUUCUCCUUGGAAUAGGUAUAUCCUUGAUACCAUUGUAGGCGGGAACUUUUUGGGGAGCCAUACUGUUGACUCCUAUAGAGCUAUCAUGAAUUUGGUAGGCUCACCCCCGCUCAUGGUUAAUGGAACUAUCUUGACGUUGGAACACGUGAUGCAAAGGCUUGACGCUAUUGAAAACAAAAUUGCCACAGUUGAACUUAUUGAGGUUUGGAUAGAAAGAUCCACAAUCAAAUUACUUAGUACGAAUCCAAAGUGGGAUUUUUUUAAAAAAUUUAAAGGAGAAGGAACUUAUAGUUAAUGAUUCUUCUAGAAUUGGCAAAUUAGAAGAUGUCAUAAUCAACUUGGGUUCCGCUUUUGCCGCUGUGCAAAAUACUCCAAAUAUUACUCUCAAAAAGACCGUCAAGCCUGUUUUUGUUCCUAAAGCUAGUGGUGAGUCAUCUAAUAAAGAUGAAAAUCUUAAGAUGAUAAAUGAUCACACUACUUAUGGUUUGAGCACCAAAGAUGACUAUACGUGAUUCCAUCAAAUUUUGCCUAGCUAAGGGCGUUAAACAAAAGCGCUUGUUGGGAGGCAACCCAACGAAUUUAUCCUUUUUCUUUAUGUUUUGUGUUUUCCACACUUUCAUAAUUCUGUUAUGAUUGUGUAUUUUGUGUUUCUUUUUGUGUUUGUGCCAAGCAAAACCGUUAUGAUUAGUCUUGGGGAUGAUCGUUUGGUCAUGCUGGAAAAGACAGAAACUUUCUGCUCACGAAAAGAAUUUUCAUUUUUUUUUCUGUAAGAGCUUUUGAGUUGAUUAUUUUUGCUGCUCAUUGAUACGAAAAUUAUUGAGACUGUCGUAAUUUGUUAGAAUUUUUGGAGUACCAGAGGUAUACGAAAUAUACAGAUUGCUACAGACUGGUCUGCUGUUAACAUAUUCUGUUUUUGUUGUGUUGAUUGCUUAUUUUGAUGAAACUAUGGAUAAUAUCGGGGGGUAUUAGCCAUGGAAGGUUGAAAGUACAGUAAUCCAACAUCAGCACAAGUAGAAUUUAAGUUUGCUACAGUACCUAAGGAAGUGGUGGUUUGUUUUCUUGUACUAAUGUUAUCACGAGUUUCUGUUUAAGUUUCGUGUUGUGAAGUUUUCAAGUUUUGGGUGAAGUUCUUAUGGACAAAGAGAUAAAGAGUGGCAAGAGCUCAAGCUUGGGGAUUCCCAAGGCACCCCAAGAGAUUCAAGGAUGCCGUAAAAUCCUAAGCUUGGGGAUGCCCCGGGAAGGCAUCCCCUCUCUCGUCUUCAAUCCAUCGGUAACGUUACUUGGGGCUACAUUUUUAUUCACCACAUGUUAUGUGUUAUGCUUGGAGCGUCUUGUAUCGUAGGAGUCUUUUAUUUUUGUUGUGUCACAAUCAUCCUUGCUGCACACCUAUAGAGAGAUACAUGCACACACCAUGAUUUUGUCGAGCUUCACUUAUAUCUUUUGGUAGACAAUUCGGGUCACAUGUGCUUCACUUAUAUCUUUUGAGCUAGAUACUUUUGCUCUCUGUGCUUCACUUAUAUAUUUUAGAGCAAAGCGGUGCAUGACUUGGUAGUUGAUCUAUGCUUUGAAAGUAGUCUCAAAAGGGGUAGUUAUCCAAAGGGAUACGAAAACUUCCACGUUCAUGUGCAUUGAAUAGUUAGAGAAGUUUGAUUCAUCUCAAUUAGUUUUGAGUUGUGGUUAUGGUAAUAUUGAAGUCAUGCUAGUAAGGUGUUGUGGAUCUAGAAAUACUUGUGUUGAAGUUAGUGAUUCCCGUAGCAUGCACGUAUGGUGAAUCUCUAUGUGAUGAAAUCUGAGCAUGAUUAGUAUAUUGAUUGUCAUCCUUUGCGUGGCGGCCGGGAUCGCGCGAUGGUUUAUACCUACCAACCCUUCCCCUAGGAGUACGCAUUGAAUGCUUUUGUUUCGAUUACUAAUAAAACUUUUGCAACAAGUAUAUGAGUUCUUCAUGACUAAUGUUGAGUCCAUGGUUUAGAUGCACUUUCACCUUCCACCAUCACUAUCUUCUUAGUGCCGUGCAACUUUCGCCGGUGCACAAAACCCACCAUUUGCCUCCCUCAAAACAGCCACCAUACCUACCUACUAUGGCUUUUUCAAAGUCAUUCCGAGAUAUAUUGCCAUGCAACUACCACCAUGACAUGUGCCACCACGUCUAUAUUGCUAUUGCAUGAUCGUAAGAUAGCUAGCAUGAUGUUUCCAUUAAUGUCUAUGCCAUGCUAGAUCAUUGCCACGGUACACUACCGAAGUCAUUCCAUAUAGAGUCAUAGUUGCUCUAAGUUUUGAGUUGAAAGUGUGAUGAUCAUCAUUAAUGGAGCAUUGUCCCAUGUGAGGAAAUAAAAGAGGCCAAAGAAGCCCACAAAAAAAAGAGAGGCCAAAGAGCCUACCAAAUAAUAAAAAAAUGAGAGAAAAAGAGAGAAGGGACAAUGCUACCACCUUUUCCACACUUGUGCAUAUUAAGCACCAUGAUCUUCAUGAUUGAGAGUCUCUCGUUUUGUCACCACCAUAUAGCUAGUGGGAAAUUUUCAUUAUAUAACUUGGCUUGUAUAUUCCAAUGAUAGGCUUCCUCAAAAUUGCCUUAGGUCUUCGUGAGCAAGCAAGUUGGAUGCACACCCACUAGUUUUCUUUAAGAGCUUUCACAUACUCGUAGCUCUAGUGCAUCAUUUGUAUGGCAAUCCCUACUCAUUCACAUUGAUAUCUAUUGAUGAGCAUCUCCACAGCUCAUUGAUAUGCCUAGUUAAUGUGACUAUCUUCUCCUUUUGUCUUGCAACCUCCACCACAUUCCACACCAUCUAUAGUGCUAUAACCAUGGCUCACGCUCAUGUAUUGCGUGAGAGUUGAAAAGGUUUUAGAAAGUAAAGGUGUGAAACAAUUACUUGGCCAAUACGGGGUUGUGCAUGAUUUAAAUUCGUUUUGCAAUAAUGAUAGAGCAUAGCCAGACUAUAUGCUUUUGUAGGGAUAACUUUCUUUUGGCCUUGUUAUUUUGAAAGUUCAUGAUUACCUUGCUAGUUUGCUUGAAUUAUUAUUGUUUCCACGUCAAUAGCAAACUAUUGUUUUGAAUCUAAUGGAUCUGAACAUUCACGUCACAUAAGAGGAAUUACAAAGGACAUCUAUGCUAGGUAGCAUGAAAGCAUCAAAAAUUCAUUCUUUAUCACUUCCCUACUCGAGGACGAGCAGGAGUUAAGCUUGGGGAUGCUUGAUACGUCUCAAACGUAUCGAUAAUUUUUGAUGGUUUCACGCUGUUAUCUUGUCUUCUUUGGAUGUUUUAUGUACCUUUUUAUAUCUUUUUUGGGACUAACUUAUUAAUUCAGUGCCAAGUGCCAGCUCCUGUUUUUUCUGUGUUUUUGACUCUUUUAAGAUCUGAUUUUGGAACGGAGUCCAAACGGAAUAAAAACCCCGAAAUGAUUUUUUCCCGAACGGAAGAAGAUCAGGGGGCCUCUGGGCCAAGCCAGGUGUGCUCGAGGGAGCCCACAAUCUCCCACUCCGCCACCAGGGGGGAGGCGGCGGUGUGAGGGCUUGUGGCCUCCCUAGCCGCCCCCUGACCUAGAUCCUUGGCCUAUAUAUUCCCAAAUAUUCAGCAAAAAAUUAGGGGAGCCUCGAAAAUACUUUUUCGCCGCCGCAAGAUUCCGUUUCCGCGAGAUCUCAUCUGGAGACCCUUCCCGGCGCCCUGCCGGAGGGGACUUUGGAGUUGGAGGGCUUCUUCAUCAUAAUCAUCGCCCCUCCAAUGACUCAUGAGUAGUUCACUUCAGACCUACAGGUCUGUAGUUAGUAGCUAGAUGGCUUCUUCUCUCUCUUGGAUCUUCAAUACAAAGUUCUCCAUGAUCUUCUAGGAGAUCUAUCCGAUGUAAUCUUCUUUGGCGGUGUGUUUGUCGAGAUCCGAUAAAUUGUGGAUUUGUGAUCAGAUUAUCUAUGAUAUAUAUUUGAGUCAUUGCUGAUUUCUUAUAUGCAUGAUUUGAUAUCCUUGUAAGUCUCUCCGAGUCUUGGGUUUUGUUUGGCCAACUAGAUUUAUGAUUCUUGCAAUGGGAGAAGUGCUUGGUUUUGGGUUCUACCAUGUGGUGACCUUUCCUAGUGACAGUAGGGGCACCAAGGCACACAUUAAGUAGUUUCCAUCAAGGGUAAAAAGAUGGGGUUUUCAUCAUUGGUUUGAGAUUAUCCCUCUACAUCAUGUCAUCUUGCUUAAGGCGUUACUUUGUUCUUAUGGACUUAAUACACUAGAUGCAUGCUGGAUAGCGGUCGACGUGUGGAGUAAUAGUAGUAGAUGCAGAAAGUAUCGGUCUACUUGUUUUGGACGUGAUGCCUAUAGAUAUAAUCAUUACCAUAGAUAUCGUCAUGACUUUGCGCGGUUAUAUCAAUUGCUCGAUAGUAAUUUGUUCACCCACCGUCUACUUGCUUUCAUGAGAGAAGACACUAGUAAACACUACGGCCCCCGGGUCUAUUCACAUCCAUCGUUUACACCUCCGCUUUUACUUUGCUUUGUUACUUUGUUGCUUUCAGUUCUCACUUGGCAAACAAUCUAUAAGGGAUUGACAACCCCUUCAUAGCGUUGGGAGAAAGCUUUUGUGUUUGUGCAGGAUCUUGAGACACUCUUCCACUGGAUUGAUACCUUGGUUCUCAAACUGAGGGAAAUACUUACCACCGCUAUGCUACAUCACCCUUUCCGCUUCGAGGGAACACCAACGCAAGGCUCCAAGGCCACGGGGGAAAUCCUUUCCAUACUUGACUAGGAAGUCCCUUAAGGCGUAGCCGCAGCUGAAGGAUUCCUGGUGCCGUUGUCGGGGAAGAGGAUCACUUGCCGAGGAAGAUCAAGACAAGAAUAAUCUCCCGUCAACACUCCUCUUUCCGACGCCGUUGGAAGAUCUUUUGUUGCAGUAGGACGACCUCGGGAGGAAAACGGGAAAAAUAUUAGGUACUUAAGAUAAAAGUGCCCCACGAAUGUUUUCACGCCCCCACGAGGCGCAUCUACGUAACUAUUGGAAGAAGAGCGAGGAGGGAUCACAUUGGAGAGCCACUGUCGACGUCGUCAGUGGUCGUACCGCCAUCUUCACUGGACCCCUAUCCGACAUGAGUGAACUGUCCCAACACGCUUGCUACAUGGUCUUCCAUCGCCCCCAAGAUUGCCUUGAAGCUCCUCAAGGACCGGGCAUAACACCUGGUCGAAGUCCAAGUUGUGGCGACGCGUAGCAGGUUGCUCAAGAUGCGGGUCGACGCGUGGCUCAUGAGGUCAUGACACUCAGCAUCGUAGAUCUUGUUCCAUUGGACGGACCCUGCCUCAAGCUGCUCCACGAGCCUCGUGAAGAAGUCCAGGUAGCUGGAGUCACCGAUUUCCCAAGGGUUCUCCAUCCUCUGACGGAAAAGGCGGCAACGGCACAACGGUGUGCUACAUGAGCUCUUUGAACAUCUUGGAGCGCGCAUAUUGUUCCUCGCAUCUCUAGGCGGCUUCGUCAAAAGUACGUUGCACCUCAUCACAAAUGUCUCCCACCUACGCCUCAAGCUCCUCCAGGUUACGGUGCUCCGUGGCUUGGAGUUACGUCGUGCUCCGUUUCUCGGCCUCUAACGUCGCGAGCUGCUGUUUGAUUGCCGCAAUUUUGACGUUAAGCUUGCCUUACCUCUUCAUGAAGUGGUCCUCUUGCUUCUACAUGUUCUUGGAGUAGCUGUCGGAGAGGACCUGGGUCCUCCGCGCAAGCUCGUCAUGGGCGUACCUGUUGAUCUCCGCCUUGCACUUUGCAGCCCUCUUGCCGAGCGCGACGUUGGUUUUCGCAAGGCGUUCCUUGUAGAAAGCCUCGCUGGUCGCCACGACGCGAUCCAGGUUUUCGUGGUGCUCUCGCUCCCUCUCCUGCUCGAUGGUGGUGUGCAGCAGUUCACGCUCCCGGACCUCCAUGUCUAGCUUCAUAAUCGUCAUCAUGCCCUCAGGUUCGGCGACCGCCUCCUCGGAGGAGGCGAGUUGGGCCUCACAGUCUGUAGUGUGCUUCACGAGGGCCUCCUCCUCUGACGCCACCUCCUUGAGGCGUCGGGCGCCCUCGUCCGCGUCUUGGAUCGCCGCGUCCAGGAGCUCCUAUGCCUUCCGGAUGACUUCUUGCAUUCCCCCGUGCACCACCAGCCUUGUGGCGGCCCAGCUUGACAACCACAUGCAGCUACCGCCAGCCUUCCGCAAGGUGCUCCCGCUCCUGGCGGAGGAACUCCUCCUCGGCCAUUUGGUCAGCCUUCAGGGAAAUGAGGGCCGAUCAGGCGUGGUGCAGGGUCCUGUUCCGCAACAGGUUACUAUGUCUCACUAGGGAUAGUGCCGAGGACGCGCCCAGUCCCUCCGGCUCCGGCCCAUGUAGCCCUGAAGACCCGGGGGCUGCUGCGUCAUUAGGUUGGUCCAGGUCUCUUCCCGAGGGGACCUCGCUCCACUCUGGGCCGCCGAGAUCCUCCUCAACUUCCACCUCGACUCCCGCUCCAGCAGGCAGCUGGAUCGCGCGAGGAAGGCUGGGCGUGGUUGCCUCGAACUCGUGGCUACCUGGUGAUCACUCGAGGCUUGUGGUGGCCGCCAAGUCGGUGCCCACCUCCCCCUCGGCACGGUCCUCUUACGGAGGCCUGAUAACCCACAAGUAUAUGGGAUCGCGAUAGUUUUCGAGGGUAGAGUAUUCAACCCAAAUUUAUAAAUUCGACACAAGGGGAAUCUAAGAAUAUUUGUAGGUAUUAGCAGCUAAGUUUUCAAUUCAAUCACACAUUGAUGAGUAGCACAGUAAUAUGAUAGUUUUGAUAGUAGUGGCAAUAGUAGCAGCAACGGUAAUAGUGAUAACAAUUUUGUAGAAGUUGUAACGACAGUAGCAACAAUAGUAACUUAGCAAGCACAAUAUGUCGAAAACUCGUAGGCAGUGGAUCGGUGAUAUUGCUGGAUAAUAUUCAUCAUAUCACAGUCACAACAUAGGGCGACACACAACAUAAGGCGACAUAGAACUAGCUCCCGUUCAUCGAUAUAAUGUAGGCAUGUAUUCCGUAAAUAUUCAUACGUGCUUAUGGAAAAGAACUUGCAUGACAUAUUUUGUCCUACCCUCCCGUGGCUGCGGGGUCCAUAAGGAAACUAAGGGAUAUUAAUGUAUCCUUUUAAUAGAGAACCAGAACAAAGCAUUAAAACAUAGUGAAUACAUGAAAUCCUCAUACUACAAUAAUCAUUGGAAAAAAUCCCAUUUAUUGCCACUUUGGGGUAUGCGGAUCCUAACACGUAGUAGGAGCAGAUAACUUGCAAGAUCGAAUCAUGAACAUAGAUAUAAUGGUGAAAAGAGAAGCGUUUCAGAUCUGAAAUCAUGGCACUCGGGCCAUAGUGACAAGCAUUAAGCAUAGCAAAGUCAUAGCAGCAUCUGUCUCCGAACAUAGUGGAUACUAGGGAUCAAGCCCUAACAAAACUAACUCGAUUACAUGAUGAAUGUCAUCCACCUCUUCACUGACCAGCAAGCCUACGAAGGGAUUACUCACUGCCGAUGGAGAGCAUCAUGGAAUUAGCGAUGGAUGAGGGUUGUGUGACGACAAAGACCGAAGAUUCUCCUCUCCGGAGCCCCAAAUGGACUCCAGAUUAGGCCUCCUGAUGAAGAAUAGGAGGUGGCGGCGGCUCCGUAUCGUGAAAUCUAUUGGGGAACGUUGCAUGGGCAACAAAAAAUUUCCUACGCACACGAAGACCUAUCAUGGUGAUGUUCAUCUACGAGAGGGAGAUCGGAUCCACAUACCCUUGUAGAUCGCUAAGCGGGAAGCAUUAAGAAACGCGGUUGAUGUAGUGGAACAACUUCGUGAUUCAAAUCACCGUCGUCCCAGGAUUCAUCCUGAUCUAGCACCGAAUGGACGACACCUCUGCGUUCAGCACACGUACAACUCGAUGAUGAUCUCCGCCUUCUUGAUCCAGCAAGAGAGACGGGGAAGUAGAUGAGUUCUCCGGCAUCUUGACGGUGUGCCGGUGAUGGCGAUGAUCUAUUCCGCCCGAGCUCCGUAGAAAAUCGAUCUAGAGGAAGAACUACGAACUAGAGGUUUAGGGUUGCAUGUGGCAAAGUUGUGUCUCAAAAACCCUAAAACCUUAAGUAUAUAUAGGAGGAGGGGAGGGGCUAACCUAGAGGCUCAAGGGAGCCCCAAGGGCGUCGGACGAAGGGAGGAGGAGGGACUCCUACUCCAAUUCGGUUUGGAAGGAGGAGUCCCUUCCUUCUUCCCACCUCCUCCUUUUUUUUCUCCUUUGAUUUUCUUUCCUUAGCCGAAAUAGCCCUCUUGGGCUGGCCUCACCAGCCCAGGGUUGGUGCGCCACCCAUGGGCCUAUUAGGUUCUCUCCCGGGUAGGUGGCCCCUCCCAGUAAAACCCGGAACCCAUUCAUCACUCCCGAUACACUACCGGUAAUGCCCGAAAUCUUUCCGGAAGCCAAAUGAAACAAUCCUAUAUAUCAAUCUUUGUUUCCGGACCAUUCCGAAAACCCUCUUGACUUCGUGAUCUCAUCCGGAACUCCGAACAAACCUUCGGUCAGCAACACCUAUAACUCAACUAUACCGAAACGUCACUGAACCUUAAGUGUGCAGACCUUGCGGGUUCGAGAACUAUGCAGACAUGAACUGAGACACUCCCCGGUCAAUAUCCAAUAACGGGGCCUGGAUGUCCAUAUUGGAUCCUACAUAUUCUACGAAGAUCUUAUCGGUUGAACCUCUGUGCCAAGGAUUCAUAUAAUCCCGUAUACCAUUCCCUUUGUCCUCCGGUAUGUUACUUUCCCGAGAAUUUAUCGUCGGUAUCCCUAUACCUAUUUCAAUCUCGUUACCGGGAAGUCUCUUUACUCGUUUCGUAAUACAAGAUCCCGUGACUAACACUUUACUCACAUUGCUUGCAAGGCUUAUAUGUGAUGUUGUAUUACCGAGUGGGCCCCGAGAUACCUCUCCGUCACACGGAGUGACAAAUCCUAGUCUUGAUCCAUGUUAACUCAACGGACACCUUCGGAUACACACAUGGUAUUCCUACGGUGUCAGUGAGUUACAUGAUCUCAUGGUCAUAGGAAUGAAUACUUGACACGUAGAAAACAAUUGCAACAAAAUGACACGAUCACAUGUUGCGUUUAUAGUUUGGGUUUUGUCCAUCACAUCAUUCUCCCAAUGAUGUGAUCCAGUCAUCAAGUAACAUCACUUGUAUAUGGUCAGAAAACCUUAACCAUCCUUGAUCAACUCGCUAGUCAACUAGAGGCUUACUAGGGACAUUGUCUUGUCUAUGUAUCCACACAUGCAUUUAUGUUUUCAUUCAAUACAAUUAUAGCAUGGAUAAUAAACAAUUAUCUUGAAACAGGAAAUAUAAUAAUAACUAUUUUAUCAUUGCCUCUAGGGCAUAUGUCCAACAGUCUCCCACUUGCACUAGAGUCAAUAAUCUAGUCUCACAUCAUAUGUGAUUUACAUUGGAAUGAAUCUAACCCCAUACAGUUCUGGUGUUGAUCAUGCUUCGCUCGUGGAAGAGGUUUAGUUAGUCGAUCUGCAAUAUUCAGAUCCGUGUGCACUCUGCAAAUAUUUACGUCCUCUCCUUCGACAUAGUCGCGGAUGAGGUUGAAGCGUCGUUUGAUGUGUCUGGUCUUCUUGUGAAACCUUGGUUCCUUGGCUAGAGCAAUGGCACGAGUGUUGUCACAGAAUAGAGUUAUUGGAUUUAGUGUGCUUGGCACAACUCCAAGAUCCGUAAUGAACUACUUCAUCCAGACACCCUCCUUAGCCGCCUCCGAGGCAGCCAUGUACUCCGCUUCACAUGUAGAAUCUGCUACGACGCUUUGCUUGGAACUACACCAGCUUACCGCACCCCCAUUGAGAAUAAAUACGUAUCCAGUUUGAGACUUAGAGUCAUCCGGAUCAGUGUCAAAGCUUGCAUCAACGUAACCCUUUACGACGAGCUCUUCGUCACCUCCAUAAACGAGAAACAUUUCCAUAGUUAUUUUCAGGUACUUCAGAAUAUUCUUGACCGCCGAGUAGUGUUCCACUCCUCGAUCACUUUGAAACCUGCAUGCCAUACUUAUGGCCAGGCUGACGUCCGUUCUUGUGCACAACAUUGCAUACAUGAUUGACCCUACUGCUAAAGCAUAGGGGACGAUACUCAUCUUUUCUCUAUCUUCUGCAGUUACUGGACACUGAGUCUUACUCAAAUUUAUACCUUGUAACACAGGCAAGAACCCCUUCUUGGAUUGCUCCAUUUUGAACUUCUUCAAAACUUUAUCAAGGUAUGUGCUUUGUGAAAGUCCUAUUAGGCGCCUCGAUCUAUCUCUAUAGAUCUUAAAGCCUAAUAUGUAAGCAACUUCUCCUAGGUCUUUCAUUGAAAAACUUUUGUUCAAGUAAUCCCUUAUGCUCUCCAAAAACUCCACAUUGUUUCCAAUCAGCAAUAUGUCAUCCACAUAUAAUAUUAGAAACGCUACAGAGCUCCCACUCACUUUCUUGUAUAUACAAGAUCCUACAACAACUUGUAUAAACCCAAACGCCUUGAUCACCUCAUCAAAGCGCUUAUUCCAACUCCGAGAUGCUUGCACCAGUCCACAAAUGGAUCGCUGGAGCUUGCCUACUUUGUUAGCAUUCUUUGGAUCGACAAAACCUUCGGGUUGCACCAUAUACAACUCUUCCUUAAGAAAACCAUUAAGGAAUGCCGUUUUGACAACCAUCUGCCAGAUUUCAUAAUCGAAAAAUGCAGCUAUUGCUAACAUGAUUCGGACGGACUUAAGCAUCGCUACCGGUGAGAAUGUCUCAUCGUAGUCAACUCCUUGAACUUGUGAAAAACCCUUUGCCACAAGUCGAGCUUUAUGAACGGUCACAUUACCGUCCGCGUCUGUCUUCUUCUUAAAGAUCCAUUUGUUCUGAAUAGCCUUGCGACCUUCAGGUAAUACUUCCAAAGUCCACACUUUGUUUUCAUACAUAGAUCCUAUCUCGAAUUUCAUGGCCUCUAACCAUUUGUUGAAAUCUGGGCCCACCAUUGCUUCUUCAUAAUUCGUAGGCUCAUUAUUGUCUAACAACAUGAUAGAUAAGACAGGAUUCCCGUACCACUCAGGAGCAGUACGUGAUCUUGUCGACCUGCGAGGUCCGACAGUAACUUGAUUCGAACCUUCAUGAUCUUCAUCAUUAGCUUCCUCCUCAACUGGUGUUGCCUCGACAGAUAUUUCCCUCUACCCUGCGCCACCAUCCUGUUGGAGCAGAGGUUCCACAACCUCAUCAAGUUCUAUCGUCCUCCCACUCAAUUCUUUCGAGAGAAACUCUUUCUCAAGAAAAGCUCCGUUCUUAGCAACAAACACUUUGCCCUAGGAUAUGAGAUAGAAGGUAUACCCAACUAUCUCUUUUGGGUAACCUAUGAAGACGCACUUUUCUGCUUUGGGUUCCAGCUUUUCAGGCUAAAGCUUUUUGACAUAAGCAUCGCAUCCCCAAACUUUAAGAAACGACAACUUUGGCCUCUUGCCAUGCCAUAACUCAUAUGGUUUCGUCUCAACGGAUUUUGAUGGUGCCCUAUUUAAAGUGAAUGCAGCUGUGUCUAAUGCAUAGCCCCAAAACGAUAAUGGCAAAUUGGUAAGAGACAUGAUAAAUCACACCAUAUCUAGCAAAGUACGAUUACCACGUCCGGACACACCAUUACGCUGUGGUGUUCCGGGCGGUGUCAACUGUGAAACGAUUCCACAUUGUCUUAAGUUCGUACCAAACUCGUAACUCAGAUAUUCACCCCCUCGAUCAGAUCGUAGGAACUUAAUCUUCUUGCUACGAUGAUUUUCAACUUCACUCCGAAAUUGCUUGAACUUUUCAAAUGUUUCAGACUUGUGCUUCAUCAAGUAGAUAUAUCCAUACCUACUCAAAUCAUCAGUGAAGGUGAGAAAAUAACGAUAUCCGCUGCGCGCCUCCACACUCAUUGGUUCACACACAUCAGUAUGUAUGAUUUCUAACAAGUUACUUGCACGCUCCAUUGUUUCGGAGAACAGAGUCUUAGUCAUCUUGCCCAUGAGGCAUGGUUCGCACAUGUUAAGUGAUUCAAAAUCAAGUGACUCCAAAAGACCAUCUGCAUGGAGUUUCUUCAUGCGCUUUACACCAAUAUGACCUAAGCGGCAGUGCCACAAAAAGGUGGCGCUAUCAUUGUUAACUGUACAUCUUUUGGUCUUAAUGUUAUGGAUAUGUGUGUCAUCACAAUCAAGAUUCAAUAUGAACAAACCUCUCACAUUGGGUGCAUCACCAUAAAAGAUAUCACUCAUAUAAAUAGAACAACCAUUAUUCUUUGACUUAAGUGAGUAACCGUCUCGCAAUAAACAAGAUCCAGAUAUAAUGUUCAUGCUUAACACAGACACUAAAUAACAAUUGUUUAAGUUCAUAACUAAUCCUUAUGGUAACUGAAGUGAGAACAUGCCGACGACGAUUGCAUCAACCGUGGAACCAUUUCCCACGCGCAUCAUCACUUCAUCCUUCGUCAGCCUUCGUUUAUUCCACAGUUCCUGCUUCGAGUUGCAAAUGUGCGCAACAAAACCGGUAUCAAAUGCCCAUGCACUACUAGGAGAGUUGGUUAAGUACACAUCAAUAACAUGUAUAUCACAUAUACCUUGUUUAGCGUUGGCCGCCUUCUUAUCAGCCAAAUACUUGGGGCAGUUGCGCUUCCAGUGAUCCAUCCCCUUGCAAUAAUAGCACUCUCUUUCCGGCUUAGGUCCAGCCUUGGGGUUCUUUGUCGGAGGGGCAAUAGUUUUGCAGCUCUUCUUGGAGUUACCCUUCUUGCCUUUGCCGCUUUUCUUGAAACCAGUGGUCUUAUUGACCAUCAACACUUGAUGUUCUUUUCGGAGUUCUGACUCCGCGACUUUCAGCAUUGCAAAUAACUCGUCGAGUGACUUAUUCAUCCCUUGCAUGUUAUAGUUCAACACAAAGCUCUUGUAGCUAGGUGGCAGUGAUUGAAGAAUUCUGUCAAUGAUAGCGUCUUACGGGAGUUCAAUCCCCAGCUCAGCUAGACGGUUUGAGUACCCAAACAUUUUGAGCACAUGUUCACUGACACACGAAUUCUCCUCCAUUUUGCAAGCAUAGAAUUUAUCGAAGGUCUCAUACCUCUCGAUCCGGGCAUUCUUCUGAAAGAUAAACUUCAACUUAUGGAACAUGUCAUAUGCUCCAUGACGUUCAAACCGUCGUUGAAGUCCCAGUUCUAAGACAUACAAGACUGCACAUUGAACUACUGAGUAGUCCUCCUUAGUGCUUGUCAAGCGUUCAAAGCAUCUUGUUCAGACGUAGCAGGUGGUUCAUCUCCUAGCACUGCAUCAAGGACAUAAUUCUUUUUACCAGCUUGUAGCAUAAGCCUCAGAUUACGAGCCCAGUCUACAAAUUUUCUACCAUCAUCUUUCAGCUUAGCUUUCUCUAGGAACAUAUUGAAAUUCAGGGUUGCUACUGCGUGAGCCAUUGAUCUACAACAUAAAAUAUUGCAAAGUUUACUUAGACUAUGUUCAAGACAAUUAGAGUUCAGCUAAUCAUAUUACUAAUAAACUCCCACUCAAAUAGACAUCCCUCUAGUUAUUUGAGUGUGGCAUGAUCCAAAUUCACUAUGUCAAGUCCGAUCAUCACGUGAGUUGAGUGUAGUUUCAGUGGUAAACAUCUAUAUGUUAAUCAUAUCAACCAUACGAUUCAUGCUCGACCUUUCGGUCUCUUGUGUUUCAAGGCCAUGUCUGUACAUGCUAGGCUCGUCAAGUUUAACCCGAGUGUUCUGCGUGUGCAACUGUUUUGCACCCAUUGUAUGUGAACGUUGAGUCUAUCACACCCGAUCAUCACGUGGUGUCUCGAAAUGACGAACUGUCGCAAUGGUGCACAGUCGGGGAGAACACAAUUUUAUCUUGAAAUUUAAGUGAGGGAUCACCUUAUAAUGCUACCGUCAUUCUAAGCAAGAUAAGGUGCAUAAAAGGAUUAACAUCACAUGCAAGUCAUAAGUGACAUGAUAUGGCCAUGAUCUUGUGCUUCUUGAUCUCCAUCACCAAAGCACCGGCAUGAUGUUCAUCUUCACCGGCACCACACCAUGAUCUCCAUCAUCAUGAUCUCCAUCAACGUGCCACCAUCGAGGUUGUCGUGCUAUCUAUGCUAUUACUACUAAAGCUACAACCUAGAAAUAUAGUAAACGCAUCUGCAAGCACAAACGUUAGUUCAAAGAAAACCCUAUGGCUCCUGCCGGUUGUCGUAGCAUCGACGUGCAAGUCGAUAUUUAACUAUUACAACAUGAUCAUCUCAUACAUCCAAUAUAUCACAUCAUGUAUUUGGCCAUAUCACAUCACAUGCAUACCCUGCAAAAAGAAGUUAGACAUCCUGUAAUUUGCUGUUGCAUAUUUUAGGUGGCUGCUAUGGGUAUCUAGUAUGAUCGCAUCUUACUUACGCAAAACCACAACAGUGAUGUGCAAAUUGCUAUUUAACCUCUCUCCAAGGGCCACCUCGGUCAAAUCCGAUUCAACUAAAGUUGAAGAAACAAACACCCGCCAGUCAUCUUUAUGCAACAAGUUGCAUGUUAGUCGAUGAAACCGGUCUCUCGUAAGUGUACGAGUAAGGUUGGUCCGGGCCGCUUCAAUCCAACAGUUCCGCCGAAUCGAGAAAAGACUAAGGAGGGCAUCAAAUCGAACAUCAACGCCCACAAAAACUUUUGUGUUCUACUCGAGAUUACAUCUAUGCAUGAACCUAGCUCAUGAUGCCACUGUUGGGGAACGUUGCAUGGGAAACAAAAAUUUUCCUACGCACACAAAGACCUAUCAUGGUGAUGUUGAUCUACGAGAAAGGGAGAUUGGAUCCACAUACCCUUGUAGAUCGCUAAGCGGGAAGCGUUAAGAAACGCGGUUGAUGUAGUGGAACAACUUCGUGAUUCAAAUCACCGUCGUCCCACAGUCCGUCCCGAUCUAGCACCGAACGGACGACACCUCCACGUUCAGCACACGUAUAGCUCGAUGACGAUCUCUGCCUUGUUGAUCCAGGAAGAGAGACGGGGAAGUAGAUGAGUUCUCCGACAACGUGACGGCGUGCUGGUUAUGGUGAUGAUCUAUUCCUGCAGGGCUCCGCCCGAGCUCCGUAGAAAACCAAUCUAGAGGAAGAACUACAAAGUAGAGGUUUAGGGUUGCACGUGGCGAAGUUGUGUCUCAAAAACCCUAAAACAUUUAGUAUAUAUAGGAGGAGGGGAGGGUCUAGCCUUGAGGCUCAAGGGAGCCCCAAGGGCAUCGGCCGAAGGGAGGAGGAGGGACUCCUACUCCAAUUCGGUUUGGAAGGAGGAGUCCCUUCCUUCAUUCCCACCUCCUCUUUUUUUUCUUUCUCCUUUGAUUUUCUUUCCUUGACCGAAAUAGUCCUCAUGGGCUGGCCUCACCAGCCCACCAAGGGCUAGUGCGCCACCCAUAGGCCUAUUAGGUUCUCUGCUGGGUGGGUAGCCCCUCCCGGUAAAACCAGGAACCCCUUCGUCACUCCCGGUACACUACCGGUAAUGCCUGAAAUCUUUUCGGAAGCCAAAUGAAACAAUCCUAUAUAUCAAUCUUCGUACCUGGACCUUUCUGGAAACCCUCGUGACGUACGUGAUCUCAUCCGAGACUCCGAACAAACCUUCGGUCACCAACACCUAUAACUCAACUAUAUCAAAACGUCACCAAACCUUAAGUGUGCAGAUCCUGCGGGUUUAAGAACUAUGCACACAUGACCUGAGACACUCCCCGGUCAAUAUCCAAUAGCGUGACCUGGAUGUCCAUAUUGGAUCCUACAUAUUCUACGAAGAUCUUAUCGGUUGAACCUCUGUGCCAAGGAUUCAUAUAAUCUCGUAUACCAUUCCCUUUGUCCUUCGGUAUGUUACUUUCCCGAGAAUUUAUCGUCGGUAUCACUAUACCUAUUUCAAUCUCAUUAUCGGAAAGUCUCUUUACUCGUUCCAUAAUACAAGAUGCCGUGACUAACACUUUAGUCACAUUGCUUGCAAGGCUUAUAUGUGAUGUUGUAUUACCGAGUGGGCCCCGAGAUACCUCUCCGUCACANNNNNNNNNNNNNNNNNNNNNNNNNNNNNNNNNNNNNNNNNNNNNNNNNNNNNNNNNNNNNNNNNNNNNNNNNNNNNNNNNNNNNNNNNNNNNNNNNNNNAGCUUCUCAUGAUCAGUGAGGAGUGUAUCAUAACGAUCCUGAAGAAUAUCAAAUCUAGACUGAAGAUUUUUCAUGUCAUCAGUGAGGAUUUGAUUAAGAUUCAUUUCUUCAUUCAACAGAUCAUCACUUUUGUCUAGCAGUUUUUGAAGCUUUUCCAGAGCAGUUUGUUGUUUAGUGGCAAUGAUGGCAAGUUUACUGUAACUGGGUUUUUUGUAAUCAUCAUGUUCAUAGUCACUUGAAUCAGACGAGGAGGUAUUAUGUGAUACCUUUGAACCUUUUGCCAUGAAGCAAUAGGUUGGAGCGAAGUCAUCAGCAUAGUCAUCAGUAUGGAUGGUGCACUCAUUUUCUUCAAUAUUGAAGAUUGACUUGCUGACGAAAUUGGUUGCUAGUGCAAGACUAGCCUGUCCGGAUUCUGAAUCUUCUCCAGAGCCUUCUUCAUCAUCACAUUCUUCUGAUUCUGCCUCGGAAUCCAUUUCCUUGCCAAUAAGUGCCCGAGCCUUUCUGAAGCUAGUCUUCUUGUGUGAGGAAGACUUUGAAGAUGAGAAUUUUGAGGAUUUCUUCUUCUUCCUUGAGUCAUCAGAACUGUCAUCCUUGUAUUUCUUCUUCUUUGAUUCCUUUCCCCAGCGAGGACAAUCAGCAAUGUAAUGACCUGAUUUCUUGCACUUGUGACAGGUCCGUUUCUUGUAGUCCUCAGAUGCAGAUUCUGAUUUCCUCAUGUCUCUUCUUGAUGAUUUACCGAACUGGCCUCGUCGUGUAAAUCUCUGGAAUUUCCUCACAAGCAUUGCAAGCUCCUGUCCAAAUUCUUCAGGGUCACAACUGCUGUCUUCUGUUUCUUCUUCAGAUGAGGAAAUUGCUCUAGCCUUCAGUGCUCGUGGUCUGGAAUAGCUUGGUCCAUAUAGAUCUCUCUUUUCUUCUUGCUGGAAUUCAUGAGUAUUUAGCCUUUCAAGAAUAUCAGCUGGAUCUAGCAUCUUGUAGUCUGGUCUUUCUUGAAUCAUCAGAACUAGAGUGUCAAAUGAAGGAUCCAAGGAUCUCAGUUGUUUCUUCACAACUUCGUGAUCAGUGAUGUCUCGAGCUCCCAGUGCUUGCAGUUCAUUUGAUAUAUCAGUGAGGCGAUCAAAGGUGUCUUGGCAGCAUUCAUUGUCAUGUCUCUUGAAGCGAUUGAAGAGAUUACGAAGAAUAUCAACACGAGAGUCACGCUGGGUUGAUACUCCUUCAUUUACCUUGCACAAUCUCUCCCAGAUCAGUGUUGCAGAUCCCAAAGCACUUACUCUUCCAAACUGACCUGGGCUCAAAUAGGCACAGAUGAUGUUCUUCGCUUGAGAAUCGAGUUGCUUAAAUCUCUUCACAUCAGCUGCAGUGAAACUAGCAGAAACGAGGGGAACGCCAUUUUCCACAAUAUACCAGAGAUCAUUGUCAAUUGCUUGCAGAUGCAGUUGCAUUUCAUUCUUCCAGAAAGGAAAGUUCUUCCCUUCGUAGGUGGGACAUGGUGCAGUCACCUUGAACAUGCCUGCAGUCGACAUAACUAAAACUCCAGGUGGUUAAACCAAAAUCACACAGAACAAGGGAGUACCUUGCUCUGAUACCAAUUGAAAGUGCGUUAUAUCGACUAGAGGGGGGUGAAUAGGAGAUUUUUAGAAUUUCAUCACUGAGGAAAUUCCUUUUGAGGAAAUUCCUCAAUGAUGACUAACUUACAGCGGAAACAUUUAAGGAUCAGUUUUGCAAUCGUUCACAAUGGCAGUAUUACAGAGUGAAGAUUAUGAAAACAGAUUGCACAGCAAGCAGGCACGCAGAAUACAGAUGAUGAUUUACUCAAGUGAAGAAUUUGGGGUUGAGGAAAUUCAGAGAGAGUCUUCAGCAAAUUCUUCAAACAGUCACAGUGAAAGUCAUCAACACAUAAUACAGAGAAUGUAAAGAGUUGAGGAAUUAGAACCCGAUUCUUGGUGAAGACUGUCGUUGAUGACCCAGUUCCAACUGCUGUGACAGUUAUACAUCUGGUUUGGAGCGGCUUGGUAUUUAAACCAAAGGACACCCAGUCCCGGGACACACAGUCCCUACCAUAUUCUCCUUGAGCUAAGGACACACAGUCCUCGCCCAACACUCGUGGUAAGUCUUCAGGGCAGACUUCCAAACCCUCACAAACUCGGUCACCCAACGAUCCACAAUUGACUGCUGGAUUGCUCUAGACCAUGACGCCUAACCGUCUGGAGGAUGCACAGUCCUCAAAGGUAAAAGGCUUCAGUCCCACACAGGAACAACUUCUUCAGUGAUGCUCAAUCACUAGAUUUGGUUUGUGGUUUCGGUGGGUGGUGUAUUUCCUCACUGAUGAUUUACUCUAGAAAGCUCUGAGGAAUUGGGUUGCUCUUAUGACAAGUGUCAGUUUCUAGCGGAGCAGCCAACCAGCUAGUGGUUGUGGGGGCGGCUAUUUAUAGCCUGGGAGCAUCCCGACAUGAUUUGACAUUAAUGCCCUUAAACAAUAUGACCGUUGGAGUGGAUAAGAUCAGUGACUUGGCGUGGCUUAUCGAACCGGUCGGGACUCUCAACUGUGAGAGUCCUCAUGUCACUCAUAUUCCUCACUUGAGGCUUUUGGUAGGAUUUGGCUAGGGUUGAGCAUCAUGAGGAAAUCCAUUCCAUAGUGUUACUUUGACCCCCUUUAACAGUACGGUGUUCCUAUUCAUCAAAUGCGAAGAAAGUAAAAUAGAAAGCGAAAAUCUUCACGCUUCAAUUUCUUCAGAACGAUUUUCUUCAGGAAUCACCGAUCUUCUCAAUAUCAAUAUCUUCAUGAGGAAUAUCAAUUUCAUCGCAAAUUCUUCGCGAUUCAUUUCUUCAGCUUCAGACCAAUUUCUUCAACUGAAGACAUAUAUUUUAGGGGUCGAUAUUCUUCAAAUAUCUCAAACUCCUCAAUGACUUAUAGAUCCUGUGUACACUUAAAAACACAUUAGAUAUUUAACCUAUAAGUCUUCAAACCACCAAAAUCACUAAGGGGCACUAGAUGCACUUACAGCAGUUUCAUCAGCUGGUGCAGCUGAUCCUUGUGCAGUGUCUUCCUGAGGAAUGGAGGGCUCAGGACUGUCGUCAAUACGAAUUUCUUCGUCAGUAUGUUCCUCAACUGCAGCAUCCUUCAUUUCCUCAUCUCGCCCUUUCUCCUGGUCUUCAAAGGUGACCAUUUCAUAUGAUGGAGCGAUGUUGAGGGGAACAGGGUCUAGUGGAGCAUUUUCUUCAAGCGCAUUGAGGCGCUUGGCCUCGGUGUUUUCUUCUGCUGAGGAGGCCUUUCUCUUUUUGGCUUUGUUCUCAGCAGCCCUGGUCUUCUUCACGGCUGAUGCAGACGGAGUCAUCUUCUUCACCUUUGAAGCUUUUGGUGAAGGGGUUCUCUCGACAGAUUCAUCAGCUGGCUUUGAGGAACCAGCUGGAACAGAGUCAUCAGCUUUCUUUGAAGCAGCAGCUGGAUCAGGGGCAGUCUCACCAGCUGUAGCAGAUUCAUCAGCUGGAUUUUCCGUGGUGAUUUCUUCAAUAGCCGGUACAUCCACAUGGCUUUCUUGGGGUAUUUCCUCGGCUUGAGGAGUUUCAUCAGCUUGAGGAGAUUCAUCGGCUGGUUCUUCAAUCAGAGGCUGAGGAGUUGGCACUGGAGGGGCAGCCUUCUUGUUGUAGUCGUCAACAGCUUUAGUGGCAAAUUUUAUGAAACUGCUCUUAAGACUCUAACGAUCAGAUAGCUUGGAGUACUUAUCAGUCAAAGUCUUCAACUCAGCCUGUGUUGACACAAGUGCAUCACGCAUCAAGUUGAGGAGAUUCUGCUUGAGGAAUUUCUCCUUUUUGAGCUUAGCAACCUUGGCCUGCUUCGCUUGCUGCUCCUUCCACUUGGCCUCGUUGAUGAAUGUGGCCACCAUGUGGCUGAUGCCAGGGGAAGUUUCAAAUCAUCAAGCGGAGUGUUGGGGUCCUCAUACCAGAUGUUUAUGUAGUCUAGGAGGACCUUGGGAUCCAUGGCCACAGGAAUGGCGCUACCUGAAGCUUGAGCUUCCCUCUCCUGCUUGUUUCUGAUUAUAGCUUGCAGGGUUUCAUCAUCAUAUCCAUCACUACCCUCUGAUGCAGACGGGACUGUGAUGAUUUUGCUGGGGCUUGGUUGUGUUCCUUUUUCAGCAGACACCUGAGUCUUCACAGGAGGUGGUGAAGACUUUGUCUCCGAGAUGGUUGCAGCUGGGAGUGAGGAGCUGGAGGUAGCGGGCAGUGGCUUCAUGACCGGCUUCAGUUCUGGUUUUGAAACCUGUGGUGGAGCUGAGGAUUUUGGCGCUGAGGGUUUUGUAACUGAUGCCUGAGCUGGUUUCUCUUGAGGCUUUGGAGCCCUUGGUUUUGACGGCACAGACUUUGGUUGAGGAAUUGCUGAACCAGAGGUCUCAGCGGCAGAGGAAGUAGCUGCAGUUGAAGCAGCAGCUGAGGAUUCAUUGAAUUUCCUCACUGCAGCAUCUGCCUGCUUCUUAAGCUUAGCCAAGUGCUUGUCCUUUUCAUCAGGAUAGUCAUCAAGGGUCUUGAGGCUUGAGGGAUGUGCUACUUGAUGAGCCUCAAGUGGAGCCCGUUUUCCAGGAGGCUUCAGAGCGAAUUUCUUCGCAUACUUGGCAGUGACAAAUCUGUAUUCCUUCCAUUCCUUAGCCCAUCGGCGUUUCUAUCUUCUGAAGCCGAAUCUUUCUCUUGGCCAUUGUUUCAUUUUCAUCAGGUGUGCAAUAGUCCAAGUAAAUAUCUUCAGGGAUAUCCAAUGUUGUAUUCUGCUCAAGUUUCUUGCAUCCCUUCUGUUUUCUUUCAUCCUCCAUUUUCUUCAGCAGAGGAUUUUCCUGAUGAGAUUGAACUCUUGAGGAUUCUGAUGAGACUUGAAGAUUUUCUUCAAGAAACGCUGCAAAUGAGUUAAUGUGAUGAGAACCGAGGGAUUCAUCAGCUGACAUGUGUGUACCUGUGAACAGAGUAUAGUUGCGAGGAAUUUGGAGAGGUCAUAUGCGUUCUCAAAUUUGAAGAAAAUGAAAAAGUUUGACAGUUGAGGAAUUUAACCAGUGGUUGAGAAAUUUUCCUAAGCAUAUUGUUCUUAGGUUCCAGAGUUGUACAGAUCCGGCAAUUCGCACAAUUGAGGAAUCUCGUGAAAAUCUUAGAUGCUUAGUGAAGUUCAUCAACAGUGUGGUGAUAGGCAGUGUUUGAGGAAUCAGAUGCAUAUGGAUUCUUGAGGAAAAUCAGAUUUCACAUCUCACAUGUAAAAUAGUAGAUCUAACUUGCUGUAAAAAUAGGGUUUUAUUCACCCUAGAUGGCGCGCACGAAGAACAGAGAAGUGUUGCAGAGAGAAGCCCUUCGGUGCGUGUCCAAUGCGCCCUAACCCGGUAGCAGAGGACGUCUACGGCGGCGGCGGAUGAAGAUGGUCCGACUCCGGUGUGGUUUCGGCGACGGAGAAGUGUUGCAGAGAGAAGCUCUUCUUCGCCGACGAUGAGACUUCCGGCGGUGGCGCUAGGGUUCGGGUCUUUUGCUGUAGCAGGAGAGCGAUGGAGCGAAGAAGUGUUUGCCGAGGGGGAUAAGGACAUAUUUAUAGCCAGGCAGUUACUGUCGGCGCGAAGAAUUCGGACCAAACAGCCCGUGCCUCUACGUCUCCGCACGACACGUGUAGCUCCCGAGCAAGGCGGUGGAGAUAGUGGAGAUCAUGGUUAUCCGAAUGUGGGAAGUGGGGUUCACUUACUGUGCAUAAAAAAGCAUUUUUGAAGAUUUGAGGAUUUUGUUACAAAACCAUCAGCUGACAAGGACGCAGUGAGGAUUUUGAACAAAGUUUCAAGUAGAACGCAUAUGAAGAAUUGAAUAGACUGGAUGAGAAUAGCAUAGAGGGAAAGUAGGGUCCGAUCACAUUCACUUAGAUGUUGAAGAAAUAGCUAUAAGUGAAUGCUGUUGAGGACUUGAAAUCACAGUCUAUCUAGUCCAAUGAAAGUCAUCAAGUGUUUUUGAAGAACAACUGUUUUGAAGAAAAACACAUUUUGAGGAAAUAGAACAUUAAAGAAAUUCAAAUUGAGGAAUUUCAUGUUGGGCGGUGGCGUGACCCACCAUAUAAGAAUGUUGAUUACAGACGCCGCGUACAAUUGUCGUAGGGCCUUGAAAAUCAAUUUCUUCGUUGAUUUCUUCACAUUCAGAGUGAUAUUCUUCAUCAGUUGAAGAAAAUCGAUUCAUCAUGUGUUGCACAUCUAAGUCAUCAAUUUUGCAUAAGUGUUAGGAUGUGUGCAUGUUUUUACAAAACAUUUGAAGAUUCUAAGAUAUUUAGCUCACACCGCAACUUGCAAAACCUUUUCUCAUCCAAGGGCUUAGUGAAGAUAUCUGCUAGUUGAUCAUCAGUCUUCACAUGGUCGAUGAGGAUAUUGCCCUUGAGGACAUGGUCCCGAAGAAAAUGAUGACGAAUCUGGAUGUGCUUAGUCUUCGAGUGUUGUACUGGGUUGUAUGCAAUCUUGAUUGCACUCCCAUUGUCGCAGUAGAGAGGCACAUUCUUCAUGUUGAUGCCGUAGUCCUUGAGGGUUUGCUUCAUCCAUAGUAAUUGAGCACGGCAUGAACCAGCAGCAAUGUACUCAGCUUCGGCAGUGGAGAGUGAUACGCAGUUCUGCUUCUUUGAGGACCAGCAAACUAGUGAUAUUCCGAGGAAAUGGCAUGUACCAGAAGUUGACUUGCGAUCCACACGAUCACCAGCAUAGUCCGAAUCAGAAUACCCUACCAAAUGAAGAUUGGAGCCCUUGGGAUACCAUAAUCCUAGUGUUGGUGUAUGAGCUAAGUAUCGAAGAAUAUGCUUCACAGCCUUAUGGUGUGAUUCCUUCGGUUUUGCUUGAAAACGUGCACACAUGCAAACACUAUGCAUUAUAUCUGGCCUAGAUGCACAUAGAUACAAUAAAGAGCCAAUCAUAGAGCGAUAUACCUACUGAUCAAAUUCUUUACCAUUUUCAUCAGUGUCGAGGUGGCCGUUGGUAGGCAUUGGAGUCUUGGCACCUUUGCAUUCAUGCAUGUCGAAUUUCCUUAGAACAUCCUUGAGGUAUUUCUCCUGUGAUAUGAAGAUUCCAUUGCGUUGUUGACGAAUUUGAAGACCUAAGAAGAAUUUCAGCUCCCCCAUCAUAGACAUUUGAUAUUCUUCACUCAUCAUGUAAGCAAAUUCAUCACUGUAUCGUUUGUUAGUACAGCCAAAUAUGAUAUCAUCGACAUAUAUUUGGCACACAAAUAGCUCAUUAUCAUAGGAUUUAGUGAAAAGAGUUGGAUCGAGUGAACCAGGUUUGAAGCCUUUCUUCAUGAGGAAUUCCUUCAAUGUGUCAUACCAUGCCCGAGGGGCUUGCUUGAGACCAUAGAGUGCCUUUUUGAGUCUGAAGACUUUGUCUGAAUUCUUUGGAUCCUCAAAACCUGGGGGCUGAGCAACAUAUACUUCUUCCUCAAGAUUACCAUUGAGGAAUGCACUUUUCACAUCCAUUUGAUAUAAGAUGAUGUUAUGAUGAUUAGCAUAAGCAAGUAGUAUUCGAAUAGCUUCAAGUCUAGCAACAGGUGCAAAAGUUUCAUCGAAGUCUAUUCCUUCAACUUGGGUGUAGCCUUGGGCUACGAGUCGUGCCGUAUUCCUCACCACUUGACCAUCCUCAUCUUGCUUGUUUUGGAAAAUCCACUUGGUUCCGAUGAUGUUAUGCUUGCGAGGAUCUGGUCGUUUGACUAGCUCCCAUACGUCAUUCAGCUUGAAUUGAAGAAGUUCGUCUUGCAUAGCUUGGAUCCACUCCGGUUCCAAGAAAGCCUCAGCAACUUUUGAGGGUUCUGUAAUAGAUACAAAGGAAAAAUGCCCACAAAAGUUAACUAAAUGUGAAGCUUUUGAGCGAGUGAGAGGACCUGGCGCGUUGAUGUCGUUGAGGAUUUUGUCAAGUUCUAGUUCAUUUGCAAUCCUCGGAUGAGCUGGUUGAGGAUUUCGUCUGGGCUGAGGAAGUGGUUCUAGAGCAAUUUCCUCAGGAGCAUCUUCUUGAUUUUCAUCAGUGAUGGGGAUGGUUUCUUCAUCAAUUUCCUCAAUGGGAACAAUGUCUUCAGUAGGCUUGAGCUUUAUUGCUUCCGCAGGAGAUAACUUAUCUGGAUCAGAAGGCAAUUGCUCUCUUUGCGAGCCAUUAGUUUCAUCGAACCACGCAUCUACAGUCUCAACAACUUUGUUGUGAUAGUUGUUGAAGACUCUGUAGGUGUGCGAGUCCUUUCCAUAACCGAGCAUAAAACCCUCAUGUGCCUUAGGUGCAAAUUUUGAGCUAUGGUGAGGAUCUCUAAUCCAACAUUUUGCACCGAAUACUUUGAAAUAACUUACAUUGGGUUUCUUAUCAAUGAGGAGUUGAUAUGAGGUUUUCUUGAGGAAUUUGUGAAGAUAUACCCUGUUGAUGAUAUGGCAUCCAGUGUUGAUUGCUUCAGGCCAAAAGCGACGAGGAGUCUGAUAUUCUUCAAGCAUAGUUCUUGCCAUCUCAACCAGAGUCCUGUUCUUCCUUUCGACGACACCGUUCUGCUGAGGAGUAUAAGGAGCAGAUAAUUUGUGAGUAAUACCAAGUUCAUCAAGAUAAUCAUCAAGACCAGUGUUUUUGAACUCUGUUCCAUUAUCACUCCUGAUAUGUUUGAUCUUGAUGCCAAAGUUCGUCGAGGCCCUUGAAGAAAAUCGUUUGAAGAUUUCCUGUACUUCAGUAUCAUAUACUAUGAUAUGCACCCAUGUAUAUUUGGAAUAAUCAUCAACUAUGACGAAGCCAUAUAAAGAUGUUGCAUUGGUUAGUGUGGCAUAGUGAGUAGGUCCAAAUAGAUCCAUAUGAAGCAAUUCGAAGGGGCGUGUAGUGGUCAUGAUAGUCUUCGGGGGAUGCUUGGACCUGGUUAUUUUCCCAGAUUCACAUGCACCGCAGAGAUGAUCCUUGAGGAAUUUGACUGAUUCGAUGUCGAUGACAUGCUUAUUCUUCGCGAGUGUGUGCAAAUUCCUCAUGCAUGCAUGACAUAGUCUUCAGUGCCACAUCCAUCCUUCUGAGGUCUUUGCUAGUAAGCAAGUGGAUGGUUGAGGACCUGUAGAGAAAUCAACAAUGUACAAAUCCCCUCUUCUUACACCUUCGAAGACUUUGGAUCUGUCAGAUUCCAUGAUGACUACACAUCUAUAUCUACCAAAGAUAACAAUCAUAUCAAGAUCACAAAGCAUCGAGACUGACAUGAGGUUAAAACCAAGGGAUUCAACAAGCAUCACUUUGUCCAUAUGCCUAUCCUUGGAAAUAGCACUUGCCAAGUCCCAAUACCUUGCUUUUACCUUUGUCAGCAUAUGUGAUUUGCUUCAGAGGUGAUGGAGUCAGUGGCAUAUUCAUCAGCAAGAUUUUAUCACCAGUCAUGUGAUGUGUGCAGCCACUAUCAAGAACCCACUCAGUAUUCUUGGGUUUAUCAUCCUGCAGAUGAAUUAGUACAGCUUACCAUCUCAUAUGCUUCAGAUUUGAAGAAUAUGAUAUCAAUUUCAUCAGAUAAGAAUUUCAUCAUAACAGAAUUAAAGGACGUGUGAAAUAUUUCUAUUCCAUCAAUAUUAGCUUGCGUCCUAUCAAGCAUUUCCUUAGGUCUCCAGCAAAUUCUUCAGAUGAUGAUUUUCAUCUGGAGACCUGACCUGCAGAAGUGAUAAGUUCGAUUUCUUCACCACCCACAUCUGAAGGGGUGGUAAAGCAGUCAUCAUCCUGCGAGCACCAUAUGAGAAAGGUGACAUUGAAGCUAAUGCACUUCUCUUAACAGUAGGGGGUUAAAGUACUCAUAUGAAUAUGAAGAGAACUGGUUUGAGGAUUUAUGAACAUAAUGAUUUGAAGAGUAAUGCUCAUAUUCAUAUUCCUUGUAGUUUCCCUGCGUGUUAGACGCAUUAGCACGGGUAGGAGCAUAAUUUUGACCAGUUGAUGAUUUUGAUCCUCUUGAAGACUUUGGUCCUCCUGACGAUUUUGAUCUGGGGUUCAGAUUCUUCAUUGGUGGUGUCAUGAGGACAUUCACCUGAAGAUUUUCAAGACAACUUUUGGGAACCCAGAUUUUCCUCAAAGGAGGGCCAUUCCUGCAGUUAGUUCCAACAUAUCGAGCAAAUACUUCACGAGAUUGAUUUUUGAACAGUUUAUAGUUGGAGUCAAAUGACUCAUCUAAGGAAUAGGAUAUUUCACAUGAAAAGCCACUUAGAUUGGAUGGAUCAAAAGGAGGCCCAGUAGCAGCAACCCAUGAGGUUUUGGGAUACUGCUCAGGUUUCCAAUAAGAUCCAUCUGCAUUUAAUUUCCUCUCAAAGGAAAUUCCUUCUUUCCUCGGGUUCCUGUUCAAGAUCUGCUUUUUGAGCACAUCACAAAGGGUUUGAUGUCCUUUGAGGCUUUUGUAUAUGCCUGUCACAUACAAUUCCUUCAGCCCUGCAUUUUCAUCAGUAACAUUUGUGUUUUCCUCGAGUGAGGAAAUUGACAAUACAGGAGCAGUUGAAGAAUUUGUAGCAAUAGAAGCAUUUGAUGAUUCUGGUGAAGAAUUAGCAGUUUCACGUUCAAUGCAUUUAAGACAUGGAGGAAUGAAUUCAGCUUGAGCGGCGCUGAUCUGUUGAGCUAGUAAUGAAUCAUUUUCCAUCCGAAGAUCAUCAUGAGAGAUCCUCAGCUUCUCUAGAUCAAGCUUCCUUUGAAGAAAUUCAUAGGAAAGUUUCUCAUGAUCAGCGAGGAGUGUAUCAUAACGAUCUUGAAGAUUAUCAAAUCUAGACUGGAGACUUUUCACAUCUUCAGUGAGGAUUUGGGACAGAUUCAUUUCACCAUUCAAUAGAUCAUCACUUCUAUCUAGCAGUUUCUGAAGCUUUUCCAGGGCAGUUUGUUGUUUAGUGGCAAUGAUAGCAAGUUUACUGUAACUAGGUUUUUUAUAGUCAUCAGGUUCACAGUCACUUGAAUCAGAGGAGGAAGCAUCAUUCGGUACCUUUGAACCUUUAGCCAUGAAGCAAUAGGUUGGAGCGAAGUCAUCAGCAUAGUCAUCAGUGUGGAUGGUGUGAUCAUCUUCUUCAAGGUUGAAGAUUGACUUGCUGAUGAAAGUGGUUGCAAGUGCAAGACUGGCCUAUCCGGAUUAUGAGUCUUCAUCAGAACCCUCUUCUUCAUCACAUUCCUCUGAUUCUGCCUCGGAAUCCAUUUCCUUGCCAAUAAGUGCCCGAGCCUUUCUGAAACUAGUCUUCUUGUGCGAUGAGGGCUUUGAAGAUGAGGAUUUUGAAGAUUUCUUCUUCUUCUUCGAGUCAUCAGAACUGUCAUCCUUGUAUUUCUUCUUCUUUGAUUCCUUUCCCCAACAGGGACAAUCAGCAAUGUAAUGACCUGAUUUCUUGCAUUUGUGGCAGGUUCUUUUCUUGUAGUCCUUAGAUGAAGAUUCUGAUUUCCCCAUGUCUCUUCUUGAAGAUUUACCGAACUGGCCACGUCGUGUAAACCUCUGGAAUUUCCUCACGAACAUUGCAAGUUCCUGUCCAAAUUCUUCACGGUCACCAAUGCUAUCAUCUGAAUCUUCUUCUUCAGAUGAGGAAAUUGCUCUAGCCUUCAGUGCACGUGGUCUGGAAUAGCUUGGUCCAUAUUGAUCUUUCUUUUCUUCUAGCUGGAAUUCAUGAGUAUUGAGUCUUUCGAGUAUAUCAGCUGGAUCAAGCAUCUUGUAGUCUGGUCUUUCUUGAAUCAUCAGUACUAAAGUAUCAAAUGAAGAAUCCAAAGAUCUUAGAAGUUUCUUCACAACUUCGUGAUCAGUAAUGUCUCGAGCUCCCAGUGCUUGCAGUUCGUUUGAUAUGUCAGUGAGGCAAUCAAAGGUAUCUUGGCAGCUUUCAUUGCCAUGCCUCUUGAAGUGAUUGAAGAGAUUGCAAAGAAUAUCAACACGAGAGUCACGCUGGGUUGAUACUCCUUCAUUUACUAUGCACAGUCUCUCCGAGAUAAGUGUUGCAGAGCCCAAAGCACUCACUCUUCCAAACUGGCCUGGGCUCAGAUGGCCACAGAUGAUAUUCUUCGCUUGAGAAUCAAGUUGCUUGAAUUUCUUCACAUCAACAGCAGAGACACUAGAAGAGAUGAUGGGGAUGCCAUGUUCCACAAUAUACCAGAGAUCAUUAUCAAUAGCUUGUAGAUGCAUUUGCAUCUUGUUCUUCCAGAAGGGAAAGUUCUUUCCUUCGAAAGUAGGACAUGUUGCUGUAACCUUAAACAUGCCUGCAGUCGACAUAACUAAAACUCCACGUGGUUAAACCAAAAUCACACAGAACAAGGGAGUACCUUGCUCUGAUACCAAUUGAAAAUGCGUUAUAUCGACUAGAGGGGGGUGAAUAGGAGAUUUUUAGAAUUUCAUCACUAAGGAAAUUCCUUUUGAGGAAAUUCCUCACUGAUGACUAACUUACAGCGGAAACAGUAAAGGAUCAGAAGUGCAAAGUUUCACAACAUCAUUUUUUCAGUGUGAGGAAUGUGAAAACAGAUUGCACAGUGAGCAGGCACACAGAAAACAGAUGAGGAUUAACUAGCGUGAAGAAUUUGGGGUUGAGGAAUUUCAGAGAAAGUCUUCAGCAAAUUCUUGAAACAGUCACAGUGAAAGUCAUCAACACAUAAUCUGAGGAAAGUAAGGAGUUGAGGAAUUAGAACCCGUUUCACAGUGAAGACAGUAGUUGAUGACCCAGUUCCAACUGAUGUGACAGUUGUACAUCUGGUUUGGAGCGGCUUGGUAGUGAAACCACAGGACACACAAUCCUGGGACACACAGUCCCUACCGUAUUCUCCUUGAUCUAAGAACACACAGUCCUCGCCCAACACUCGUGGUAAGUCUUCAGGGCAGACUUCCAAACCCUCACAAACUUGGUCACCCGGCAAUCCACAAUUGACUGCUGGAUUGCUCUAGACCAUGACGCCUAACCGUCUGGAGGAUGCACAGUCCUCAAAGGUAAAAGGCUUUAGUCCCACACAGGAACAACUUCUUCAGUGAUGCUUAAUCACUUGGUUCUAGGUUUGUGGUUUGGUGUUCGGGGUAUUUCCUCACUGAUGAAUUACUCUCAAAGACUCUGAGGAAUUGGGUUGCUCUUAUGACAAGUGUCAGUUUCUAACGGAGCAGCCAACCAGCUAAUGGUUGUGGGGCGGCUAUUUAUAGCCUGGGAGCAUCCCGACAUGAUUUGACACUAAUGCCCUUAAAUAAUAUGACCGUUGGUGUGGAUAAGACCAAUGAUGUGGCGUGGCUAUCGAAACAGUCAGAACCCUCAACUGUGAGAGUCCUCAUGUCACUCGUAUUCCUCACUUGAGGCUUUUGGUAGGAUUAGGCUUGGGUUGAGCAUCAUGAGGAAAUUCAUUCCAAAGUGUAACUUCGACCCCUUUAACAGUACGGUGUUCCUAUUACUCAAGUGUGAAGAAAAUAAAACAGAAAGAGUAAAUCUUCAUGCUUCAAAGUCUUCAGAAUGAUUUUCUUCAGGACACACCGAAUUCCUCAAUUUCAAUAUCUUCAUGAGGAAUAUCAAUUUCAUCGCAGAUUCUUCGCGAUUCAGUUCUUCAGCUUCAGACCAAUUUCUUCAACCGAAGAUAUACAUUUUUAGGGGUCGAUAUUCAUCAAAUAUUUCAAACUCCUCAGUGACUUAUAGAUCUUUUGUACACUCAAUAACACAUUAGAUACUUAACCUAUACGUAUUCAAACCACCAAAAUCACUAAGGGGCACUAGAUGCAUUUACACUCGGGCUCCUCCUCCCGAAUCCAGCACCACUUUCCCCGCCAUUCUUCCCACUUCUCGCGGAAGACCCCUUAUGGGUAUAUAUCCUUGCUCCAUGUCCUUGGGAUCCAGGUGAUGGAACCAGAAAGGGCAUCUCCCUUUUGAAUCCGAGGAAUGAAGUAGUGGCGGAAAAGGGCCGUGUUGGGGGUUACUCUGGCAAAGUUUUGACAAAGGUGGCCGAACACAAACAUGCAUGUUACCGCAUUUGGCGUAAAAUCCAAGAGACGGAAGUCGUAUGUGUACAUGAUAUCGACGAAGAAAUCAGAGAAAGGGGGACAAAGCCCGCAGUAAAAGUAGUGGGUGAAGAAAGGAAAUUUGUCCGGGCCAUCAGCGGAAGAACCUGGAUUCACGCGAGUAGCGGGUGCGCCUUUGUAUCCCUCGCCCACAUGAACAGAUAUCGACCCCUCAGAGUUGUCGCCUCAAGCCCUGGGGGGAAGACAACAAGCUUCUUCCGCAUAUUCGCCAGCUCGUUCUCCGAGACGACGCCUUUCCCCUUGCUUGCCUUCGACGGUAUGGCAAUAAUGGGGCUAGAGGCCGAAGAUGGUGGGGACUUGGAAGCGACGGAUGGAUGGGGAAGCUCUAUGUUGCGCUCGAGGAAGAAGACGAUGGCAGUUCCAAGAUUGGAAAGGGCAAGAGGUAAUGGGUAAGCACAUCUAUGGUUUCCUCUUUAUGGGGGCGACGUGGGAACGCCUCUUGGCUAGCCAGAAAACGCUCCUCCACGCACGCGGUCAUUUCGGUCGCUCUGUCCAUGCCUCCCACGUCGCGCAUUCAAAUGUGCGUCAUGGGGGGAAGGGGCGCAGUAACUGAAAUAAUUACAACCGCACACUCCUACCACGCGUGCCCGUGCACUGUUGGGGCCUAGCCCAACAAUGCCUCGCACCCAUGUAUGGCCAAGGCUCGGGGGCUCCUGUCGGUGUACUAAAGUUUGGGCCUUUAGUACCCCUUACUUGUGCACGGGCUGUUGUAGCCACAUUCGUGGCAAGGCCUGUCGGGGAUAGCUGAAGGUAAAUACGAAGAUGGCAAGAAGAUGUUCAAGCCAACGACCAAAAGACUGAAGACCAAUGGCAAGGAUCCCGGCAAGAUCUUUGUCGGGAUAGCUAGCGGAGCCCCGGCAAGACGUGCGCCCGGCAAGAUCCCACCAACUUGCCACUUAUCCAGCACAGUGGCGAGGUGUCGUUCCUCCUGGGUACAUGUCGAGUGAUGAUGGGGGUUGAGCAGUGCCGAUGGGACGCGUCCAUGUCCCGUGUCAUAGAGGGUCACGGACGCCUGACGAAGCAUUUAAUGUGUUCGUCUUAAGACGUCAGUAAACACUUUAAUGACUGUACACCCCGCGUGUGCACUGUACAACUGUGCACCCCGUGGGUGCCCUGUUCGCCACUGUUGGUGACCCUUUGACAUAUAAAAGGAGGCCCAAGGCGUAACUUAGGACGGGGACUCUCGGAUCUACUCUCCUAGGGACUCUGGCAUCUACUCUCACAUCUGAUCCACGAGAUCUCUAGGGUUUUAGACUCUCUGCAUACCUGAUGUGUAAUACAUAGCGCAACUGUAGCUAGAUCCAUAGAACACUCAAUACACCUAAGGCAGGAGUAGGGUUUUACGCUUCUCAAUGGCCCAAACAUGGGUAAAACUCCCUCUCAUUGAUCGUUGGUUCCGCUCUUGGUGUGAUCCACUCUCCCCGCCGAACCAUAAAGGGAUCCACACGAUCCCAUAGGUGUCAUUUCCCGACACCUUGAAGCACUCACCUCCCCAGCAACGGCACCAGAAAAGAGCUUGAUGUCUACUAUGCAACUUUAUUCUUGUAGACGUUGAGGACCUCAGUGUCAAGUUAUGUAACUGGGUUGUACUUCUAACAUGCUUCAGCAUUUUGAACCUCACUCAAUACAUGAGCGUGAACCAUGGAUAUAUGCAUAUGAAUGAAAGGAAGGAUAUAGAUAGGGUACUCCUUAAUCAACAACCUAUCCUUAAGCACAAUCUACUUGUUGACAUUUUAGGGGAUCCUCCUCCACCCAAGGGAGAUCCGAUAUUUGAGCUUAAGGUUGUACCGGAUACUUUGAAAUAUGCUUAUCUUGGUGAAAAGAAGAUAUGCGUGUUAUUACCAGUGCUAACCUUUCACAGCAUGAAGAAAAGAAAUUACUCAAAGCACUAAAGAAGCACACGACUACUAUUGGAUAUACUCUUGAUGAUCUCAAGGGCGUAAGCCCAUUCUCGGUCAACACAAGAUUAAUAUGGAAUCGGAUGCUAAACCAGUCAUUGAUCAUCCAUGUCGUCUCAACCCUAAGAUGAAGAGGUGGUAAGAACUGAAAUACUAAAACUUCUAGAAGAAGGUAUAAUUUAUCCUAUUGCUAAUAGUAGAUGGGUAAGCCAUGAUCACUGUGCUCCUAAGAAAGGUGGUAUAACCAAUGUUCCUAAUGAUAAAAAUGAACUUAUUCCACAAAGGAUAGUAACUGGUUAUAGGAUGGUAAUUGAUUUCAGGAAAUUGAAUAAGGCUACCAGAAAAGAUCAUUGCCCCUUACCUUUUAUUGAUAAAAUGUUAGAAAGAUUAUCUAAGCACACACACUUUUUAUUUCU
This 39029-nucleotide long non-coding RNA is filed under the name Hordeum vulgare. RNAcentral describes it as "long non-coding RNA (HVUL_LNC021647)". Lineage: Eukaryota; Viridiplantae; Streptophyta; Magnoliopsida; Poales; Poaceae. The record is from RNAcentral.